This is a long non-coding RNA of Drosophila miranda, 384 nucleotides long. RefSeq lists it as uncharacterized. NCBI's taxonomy places the organism in Eukaryota, Metazoa, Arthropoda, Insecta, Diptera, Drosophilidae. The transcript has 2 exons. The record is from RefSeq and is a predicted model, not a curated record.
UUGAAUAUUGAAUAUUGGAUAGCGAUAGUAUCGACUGAAUCGUACUGUAACGUAGCGGACUUAUCGAUUGGGUAUCGAUUUACCGCCAAGUCUUUGGAAUUUGAUUUGCAUUGAUUUUUUUUAAACAAACAAACCAAAGAAUAAAUGAAAGAGCAAAUUAGAAAUAAUUUUAGUAUCCAACAGAACCAGGUGCUGUUAUUUAUCCUGCUCUGAUCGUUCCGGCAAAAAGUCUGAUGGAUAAGCAGCCUCUUCUCAUAGGCAGGGCUCUAUUCUGCCAGUUUCCGUUUCAUAAAUUAACUGAAAAAAAGGUUUAUUAUCCAUUGUAAUCAGCCAAUAUACAUACAAAUCUGUAAUAAAAGAAUUAUCCAACAUCGGCAAUCUCGA